This is a non-coding RNA of Oryctolagus cuniculus (rabbit), 999 nucleotides long. The record is from RefSeq and is a predicted model, not a curated record. NCBI's taxonomy places the organism in Eukaryota, Metazoa, Chordata, Mammalia, Lagomorpha, Leporidae.
AAGCCAUCUAGCCUUGUGAUUGGACAAGCCAAUCGCGCGCGACCUAUAACAGAUCCUGAGGGGGAAAAAAGCAACUGUCGCGAGACUUGGAGUUUGUGGCUUCUGCAGGUAGAAAGCGGGGGUGUGGUAGCAAGCGGAGUCCUGUGAGGUGGAUUCUGUGAUGUAGCUGAUUCUGUCACAUGGACCACACCAGGGGAAACACUGACUCUCAGAGGGAGAUGGCAGAGAGAGAGGGAGCCUAGAAUGCUAUCAGGACCUCCCACGUGGAUGACAGACCUGACUCCCAGGGGGUGCAUUAGCAGGAAGCUGGAGUGAGGAGCAGAGCCAGGACUGGAACCCAGGCACUCUGAAGUGGGAUGCAGAGUGGACAGUGAGAGAGACAGAGAGAAAGAUCUUCCUUUGCCGUUGGUUCACCCUCCAAUGGCCGCCGCACUGUGCUGAUGCGAUGGCAGGAGCCAGGUACUUAUCCAUUACUACCUUGUAAGAGGAAUCAUACUGUGUUUGUCCUUUGUGGUGUUCAUUUUACUCAGCAUAGUGUCCAGGUUCACAAGUAUAGAGCACAGCUCUGAAUUUCUGUCCUUUUUCAGGUGAAUAAUAUAUCAUUGUGUGUAUAAACUGUAUUUUGUUUAUCCAUUUACCUUUUUUUUUAAAAAGAUUUAUUUAUUCGAAGGUCAGAGUUACACAGAGAGAGGAGAAGCAGAGAGAGAGAGAUGGAGGGAGGGAGGGAGAGAGAGAGGUCUUCCAUCCACUGGUUCACUCCCCCGUUGGCUGUAAGGGCUGGAGCUGUGCUGAUCCAAAGCCAGGAGCCAGGAGCUUCUUCUGGGUCUCCUACGCGGGUGCAGGGGCCCAAGGACUUGGGCCAUUUUCUACUGCUAUCCCAGGCCACAGCAGAGAACUGAAUUGGAAGUGGAACAGCCGGGACUAGAACUGGCGCCCAUAUGGGAUGCUGGCGCUUCAGGCCAGGGUGUUAACCCGCUGCGCCAUAGUGCCGGCCCCCAU